AUUGAACGCUGGCGGCAGGCCUAACACAUGCAAGUCGAGCGAGCGGCGGACGGGUGAGUAAUGUAUGGGGAUCUGCCCGAUGGAGGGGGAUAACUACUGGAAACGGUAGCUAAUACCGCAUACCAUCAGAUGAACCCAUAUGGGAUUAGCUUGUAGGUGGGGUAAAGGCUCACCUAGGCGACGAUCUCUAGCUGGUCUGAGAGGAUGACCAGCCACACUGGGACUGAGACACGGCCCAGAAUCCUACGGGAGGCAGCAGUGGGGAAUAUUGCGCAAUGGGGGCAAGCCUGAUGCAGCCAUGCCGCGUGUAUGAAGAAGGCCUUAGGGUUGUAAAGUUCUUUCGGUGGCGAGGCGUUACCUACAGAAGAAGCACCGGCUAACUCCGUGCCAGCAGCCGCGGUAAUAC
Molecule: ribosomal RNA, 406 nt
Filed under: uncultured bacterium
Lineage: Bacteria
Description: partial 16S ribosomal RNA
Rfam family: Bacterial small subunit ribosomal RNA
Source: RNAcentral